This 445-nucleotide ribosomal RNA is filed under the name uncultured bacterium. RNAcentral's name for it is "partial 16S ribosomal RNA". It matches the Rfam family "Bacterial small subunit ribosomal RNA", at positions 354 to 796 of the family's 1533-position model. The record is from RNAcentral.
GUAGGGAAUAUUGGGCAAUGGGUGCAAGCCUGACCCAGCCAUCCCGCGUGCCGGAUGAAGGCCCUCUGGGUCGUAAACGGCUUUUGACGGUGAAGAACCGAAAGGGUGCGCCCUUUUUUGACGGUAGCCGUUGAAUAAGCACCGGCUAACUCCGUGCCAGCAGCCGCGGUAAUACGGAGGGUGCGAGCGUUGUCCGGAUUUAUUGGGUUUAAAGGGUGCGUAGGCGGGAGGGACAGUCGGCGGUGAAAAGCAGUUGCUCAACAAUUGUCGUGCCGCAGAUACUACCGUACUUGGAUGAGGAGGAGGUUAGCGGAACGGAUGGUGUAGCGGUGAAAUGCAUAGAUAUCAUCCAGAACGCCAAUUGCGAAGGCAGGUAACUGUACCUAUAUCGACGCUGAUGCACGAAAGCAUGGGUAGCGAACAGGAUUAGAAACCCGGGUAGUCC